Molecule: ribosomal RNA, 484 nt
Filed under: uncultured bacterium
Lineage: Bacteria
Description: partial 16S ribosomal RNA
Rfam family: Bacterial small subunit ribosomal RNA
Source: RNAcentral
AUUGAACGCUGGCGGCAGGCCUAACACAUGCAAGUCGAGCGGAUGAAGGGAGCUUGCUCCUGGAUUCAGCGGCGGACGGGUGAGUAAUGCCUAGGAAUCUGCCUGGUAGUGGGGGAUAACGUCCGGAAACGGGCGCUAAUACCGCAUACGUCCUGAGGGAGAAAGUGGGGGAUCUUCGGACCUCACGCUAUCAGAUGAGCCUAGGUCGGAUUAGCUAGUUGGUGGGAUAAAGGCCUACCAAGGCGACGAUCCGUAACUGGUCUGAGAGGAUGAUCAGUCACACUGGAACUGAGACACGGUCCAGACUCCUACGGGAGGCAGCAGUGGGGAAUAUUGGACAAUGGGCGAAAGCCUGAUCCAGCCAUGCCGCGUGUGUGAAGAAGGUCUUCGGAUUGUAAAGCACUUUAAGUUGGGAGGAAGGGCAGUAAGUUAAUACCUUGCUGUUUUGACGUUACCAACAGAAUAAGCACCGGCUAACUUCGUG